CACGUCGGGGGCAAGCGUUGUCCGGAUUUAUUGGGCGUAAAGAGCUCGUAGGCGGUUCGGUAAGUCGGGUGUGAAACCUCCAGGCUCAACCUGGAGACGCCACCCGAUACUGCUGUGACUAGAGUCCGGUAGGGGAGCGUGGAAUUCCUGGUGUAGCGGUGAAAUGCGCAGAUAUCAGGAGGAACACCAGCGGCGAAGGCGGCGCUCUGGGCCGGAACUGACGCUGAGGAGCGAAAGCGUGGGGAGCAAACAGG
RNAcentral lists this ribosomal RNA (254 nucleotides) under uncultured bacterium. RNAcentral's name for it is "partial 16S ribosomal RNA". It matches the Rfam family "Bacterial small subunit ribosomal RNA", at positions 524 to 776 of the family's 1533-position model. The record is from RNAcentral.